This 1509-nucleotide long non-coding RNA is filed under the name Nicotiana tabacum (common tobacco). RNAcentral's name for it is "long non-coding RNA (NTAB_LNC005490)". The record is from RNAcentral. Lineage: Eukaryota; Viridiplantae; Streptophyta; Magnoliopsida; Solanales; Solanaceae.
GGCCUUUCGGACUUAACAUAACCACAAGAUGAGUGGCAUAUAAAUAAGGAUGUUGAAAUGGAUGUGUAAUUAUAAGAUUAAACAGAAUUAGAAAGAGAAAAGACAUAAGUUGCCCAUCAAACUUGUCCGAAAAAAUCAUUUACAGGGCUUAACUUUACGGGCGACCUAUGUCCCCCUUAUUUUUGUUUGAGGUGAAUUUAAUACCACCCUAAAUGGUGACGUGGCAAAGGCAGUAGUUUCACUCUCCCAAACUCGCGUGUAAGAGGGGAAAAGAUUAAAAUUAGAUACAUAUUUUUACUGUGUCCGUCCCUUUUUCUUUUAUACUACUUCUUUCUUAUUUUAUUCUCUUUUUUGUUUUCUCUCUCUACCUUUUCUUCUUCUCUUUACCAUCAUUUCUCUUUUCCCACCCAAGACACCACCGUAUCUCCGCCAUACACCAUUGUAUCUGCCACCAUCCCCUCUUCCUUUUUUUCUUUUUUCUUCUUUUUCUCUUCUACUUUUUCUUUACCCGAGUAGAAGUACUCUCCACCACCUUUCAGCAAUAGCAGUACAACCUGUACUUCCCACACCCAUAUAUAGCCAUAUUGAUUCCAUUCACCAACUUCUCCUAGCUACAAAAAUCCUUUGUUUAUGAUUUAUUUAUUGUAAUAUUUCGUUGAACAAAAUUAAAUAAAUGGUUUAGUCUGGCCUCUUGAAAAGAUUGUUGUGUUUUUUUUCUUAAAAGAGUAAUAGUGCAGAUGCUGAAAUCAUUAGCUAACUUUAUGUUUGCUUGUACCAUGAUUCUUGUAUUUCACUUUAUUUGAGUUGAAUUCCAGAUGAUACAUAUUAGUUUACUUGGCGUCAAGUUAUGAGCUUGAGAUUUUUGUAAAAUAUUUCCAACUAAAGGGUCUUUUGAAAGAGGGAAGAGCAUAGAAUGGCCUAAGGAUCAAUAGCUCACUUUGAAGCCAUUGAUAAUUACAGUUUAUUGAAAUUUGAAAGUGCUUUUCUGUUUGAACAUAAAUUUUGCCGAAGCUUGAGGGUUUUUAAUUGGUUGAAAAGUUGGGUUUUCCGGCAUCAAUUUUCCGACGACGAGUUUUUCCCCUACUUUUUAAAGCUGAAAAUGAUGGAUCUUCCAUGGUGGUGUAGGUGGUUGAAGAUGAUAUGAAAAAAGAUUUGAAAAAGUAACGAAAUAAGUGAAAAUAAAAUAAAAUAAAGCAGCUUUUGACACGUGGCGCGUGUGUAAUACACAGCCCACCACAAGACUGAUUAUGUGUUAUCAAGGGGGUAUUAAAUUCACCUAAAACAAAAAUAAGGGGGACAUAGGUCGCCCGUAAAGUUAAGGUGUGUAAAUGAUUUUUUUCAGACAAGUUUGAUGGGCAACUUAUGUCUUUUCUCAAUUAGAAAUCAGCACAUUUGACAGAGGGUGCAACAUACAUAAUUACAUUAAGGAUAAAAUGAAAUAAGGUCGUCUGAAAUAGUUUGAUCAUGUCCUACGUCAAAACUAUGAUGACGAUGCUAAAGGGGACUGCU